RNAcentral lists this transfer RNA (77 nucleotides) under Gammaproteobacteria bacterium. RNAcentral describes it as "tRNA-Pro". It matches the Rfam family "tRNA". Rfam says of the family: Transfer RNA (tRNA) molecules are approximately 80 nucleotides in length. Their secondary structure includes four short double-helical elements and three loops (D, anti-codon, and T loops). The record is from RNAcentral. Lineage: Bacteria; Pseudomonadati; Pseudomonadota; Gammaproteobacteria.
CGGGGCAUAGCGCAGUCUGGUAGCGCAUCUGGUUUGGGACCAGAGGGUCGGGGGUUCGAGUCCCUCUGCCCCGACCA